Molecule: ribosomal RNA, 335 nt
Filed under: uncultured Clostridia bacterium
Lineage: Bacteria; Bacillati; Bacillota; Clostridia
Description: bacterial SSU rRNA
Rfam family: Bacterial small subunit ribosomal RNA
Source: RNAcentral
GAUGAACGCUGGCGGCGUGCUUAACACAUGCAAGUCGAACGAAGAGGCAUUGAAGGAGUGACUCGGUUGCGAAUUUGAUGCAUAUCUUAGUGGCGGACGGGUGAGUAACGCGUGGGCAACCUGCCCUUUACAGGGGAAUAAUCAUUGGAAACGAUGACUAAUACCGCAUGUCACCGUGAGAUGGCAUCAUCUUGCGGAAAAAGGAGUAAUCCGGUAAAGGAUGGGCCCGCGUCUGAUUAGCUAGUUGGUGGGGUAACGGCCUACCAAGGCGACGAUCAGUAGCCGACCUGAGAGGGUGAUCGGCCACAUUGGGACUGAGACACGGCCCAAACUCC